Molecule: ribosomal RNA, 497 nt
Filed under: uncultured bacterium
Lineage: Bacteria
Description: partial 16S ribosomal RNA
Rfam family: Bacterial small subunit ribosomal RNA
Source: RNAcentral
GACGAACGCUGGCGGCGUGCCUAUUACAUGCAAGUUGAGCGCUGAAGGUUGGUACUUGUACCAACUGGAUGAGCAGCGAACGGGUGAGUAACGCGUGGGGAAUCUGCCUUUGAGCGGGGGACAACAUUUGGAAACGAAUGCUAAUACCGCAUAAAAACUUUAAACACAAGUUUUAAGUUUGAAAGAUGCAAUUGCAUCACUCAAAGAUGAUCCCGCGUUGUAUUAGCUAGUUGGUGAGGUAAAGGCUCACCAAGGCGAUGAUACAUAGCCGACCUGAGAGGGUGAUCGGCCACAUUGGGACUGAGACACGGCCCAAACUCCUACGGGAGGCAGCAGUAGGGAAUCUUCGGCAAUGGACGAAAGUCUGACCGAGCAACGCCGCGUGAGUGAAGAAGGUUUUCGGAUCGUAAAACUCUGUUGGUAGAGAAGAACGUUGGUGAGAGUGGAAAGCUCAUCAAGUGACGGUAACUACCCAGAAAGGGACGGCUAACUACGUG